GCGGGGGUACCCCAGCUGGCCAAAGGGGCAGGGUUGAGGGCCCUGUGGCUUAGUGCCUGCGCGGGUUCGAAUCCCGUCCCCCGCA
This 85-nucleotide transfer RNA is filed under the name Methanopyri archaeon. RNAcentral describes it as "tRNA-Leu". It matches the Rfam family "tRNA". From Rfam's summary of the family: Transfer RNA (tRNA) molecules are approximately 80 nucleotides in length. Their secondary structure includes four short double-helical elements and three loops (D, anti-codon, and T loops). RNAcentral also lists the same sequence under 1 other name. Lineage: Archaea; Methanobacteriati; Methanobacteriota; Methanopyri. The record is from RNAcentral.